This 948-nucleotide ribosomal RNA is filed under the name Micrococcus sp. DS3.6.oil.2. RNAcentral describes it as "bacterial SSU rRNA". It matches the Rfam family "Bacterial small subunit ribosomal RNA", at positions 69 to 1023 of the family's 1533-position model. The record is from RNAcentral. Lineage: Bacteria; Bacillati; Actinomycetota; Actinomycetes; Micrococcales; Micrococcaceae.
AUGAAGCCCGCUUGCUGGGUGGAUUAGUGGCGAACGGGUGAGYWACACGUGAGUAACCUGCCCUUAACUCUGGGAUAAGCCUGGGAAACUGGGUCUAAUACCGGAUAGGAGCGUCCACCGCAUGGUGGGUGUUGGAAAGAUUUAUCGGUUUUGGAUGGACUCGCGGCCUAUCAGCUUGUUGGUGAGGUAAUGGCUCACCAAGGCGACGACAGGUAGCCGGCCUGAGAGGGUGACCGGCCACACUGGGACUGAGACACGGCCCAGACUCCUACGGGAGGCAGCAGUGGGGAAUAUUGCACAAUGGGCGCAAGCCUGAUGCAGCGACGCCGCGUGAGGGAUGACGGCCUUCGGGUUGUAAACCUCUUUCAGUAGGGAAGAAGCGAAAGUGACGGUACCUGCAGAAGAAGCACCGGCUAACUACGUGCCAGCAGCCGCGGUAAUACGUAGGGUGCGAGCGUUAUCCGGAAUUAUUGGGCGUAAAGAGCUCGUAGGCGGUUUGUCGCGUCUGUCGUGAAAGUCCGGGGCUUAACCCCGGAUCUGCGGUGGGUACGGGCAGACUAGAGUGCAGUAGGGGAGACUGGAAUUCCUGGUGUAGCGGUGGAAUGCGCAGAUAUCAGGAGGAACACCGAUGGCGAAGGCAGGUCUCUGGGCUGUAACUGACGCUGAGGAGCGAAAGCAUGGGGAGCGAACAGGAUUAGAUACCCUGGUAGUCCAUGCCGUAAACGUUGGGCACUAGGUGUGGGGACCAUUCCACGGUUUCCGCGCCGCAGCUAACGCAUUAAGAGCCCCGCCUGGGGAGUACGGCCGCCAGGUUAAAACUCAGAGGAAUUUGACGGGGGCCGGCACAAGCGGCGGGAACUUGCCGAAUUAAUUCGAUGCAACCCGAAGAAACCUUACCAAGGUUUUGACAUGUUCCCGAUCGCCCUUGAGAAACGGUUUCCCCUUUGG